RNAcentral lists this ribosomal RNA (380 nucleotides) under uncultured fungus. Its description in RNAcentral is "bacterial SSU rRNA". It matches the Rfam family "Eukaryotic small subunit ribosomal RNA", at positions 587 to 972 of the family's 1831-position model. The record is from RNAcentral. Lineage: Eukaryota; Fungi.
AGCUCCAAUAGCGUAUAUUCAAGUUGUUGCAGUUAAAAAGCUCGUAGUUGAAUUUUGGGUCUGGGUAGACGGUUUGGCCGCAAGGUCAACACUGUCCUAGCUGGAUCUUUUCUUGUGGCAAACUAGUGUGCUAUUUAUUUAGUGCGCUAGGGAACCAUGACUGUUACUUUGAAAAAAUUAGAGUGUUUAAAACAGGCUUAAGCCUGAAUAUAUUAGCAUGGAAUAACGGAAUAGGACUUUGUUUCUAUUUUGUUGGUUUUAGAAAUAAAGUAAUGAUUAAUAGGGAUAGUUGGGGGCAUUAGUAUUUCAUUGUCAGAGGUGAAAUUCUUGGAUUUAUGAAAGACUAACUUCUGCGAAAGCAUUUGCCAAGGAUGUUUUCA